This 290-nucleotide ribosomal RNA is filed under the name uncultured archaeon. RNAcentral's name for it is "partial 16S ribosomal RNA". It matches the Rfam family "Archaeal small subunit ribosomal RNA", at positions 168 to 458 of the family's 1478-position model. The record is from RNAcentral.
GCCUGGAAUGGUUUAUGUUCCAAAUGAUUUAUCGCCGUAGGAUGGGACUGCGGCCUAUCAGUUUGUUGGUGAGGUAAUGGCCCACCAAGACUAUUACAGGUACGGGCUCUGAGAGGAGUAGCCCGGAGAUGGGUACUGAGACACGGACCCAGGCCCUAUGGGGCGCAGCAGGCGAGAAAACUUUGCAAUGUGCGAAAGCACGACAAGGUUAAUCCGAGUGGUUUCUGCUAAAGAAACCUUUUGUCAGUCCUAGAAACACUGAUGAAUAAGGGGUGGGCAAGUUCUGGUGU